GGUUCCACGGGGUCAGGAGGCUCCAGCUGCUUCUUGGUAGAGGAGCCACGGGUCCCCAGGCUGGAAAUCACGGAACCUAUUAUUUCAGCUCGUGCUCCUUCGCGAUGAGAGAUGCGAGAUCACCUGUGAGGCUGGUGGGCUUAGAGGAGAAAGAAAGAUGGACCAUGUUUGAAAGUCCAGCCUGAGAUACGGACCAGCCCUGCAGGUGGAGAGUCUAUGACACCUGACUUGACAGAGAAGCUUGCUGUGCUCUGGAAAGACAAGGCCAACCUGCUCACCAACCCCAUAGAUGCAUGCAGGUUGCGGGGCAGAGGAGCAGGAAGCCUGCUGUUUCCUCAGUGCUGCGUGGCCAGGACUCACUGCUGUGCUCAGCUCAGGGCCCUACACUGUCUGAAUUCACUCAACAGGAGCAUCUGGUGCUUUGUAGAGGAGCAUAAAGCGGAGAGAAGGGUCCUCCUGUUUGACUCACACGUGCCUACAACAUCUUCAACUGGAGAGGAUGCUUCUUAUGCCACAGAGAGAUGAAUGCUGAUGUGCUGGCAGAGGGGACCUGGUCACACUGAGGUUCAGUCACCAAGGACCCUGCCUCCAACACAUUGACUGAGGGGCCAGGAGAGAUGAUCAUUCACUCCCUUCUUCACCGUUUCCACCAGCUGAUGGUCUCGAACAAACGGGAGCGACACCGCUUUACAUAGCUCUGAUUCAGCCAGCAGGAAUAUGUUCUGAUGGAAUGCUUUCCAUACUUGGAACUUUUUUUUUUUAAGGGAAGGGCUGGAAGAAAAGGAACUAGUGGCUACCAAGAUGGAACAACCUUUUUUUUUUUUUUUUUUUUAAAAAUUAUGUAUUAGAGAAUGAGAAAGAACAUGAGAGCACAAGCGGAGAGUAAGAUAGAGGGCCAGAGGCAGAGGGAGAAGUAGGCUUGAUCCCAGGACCCUGAGAUCAUGACCUGAGCUUAAGGCAGACAACUUAACCAACUGAACCACCUAGGGGUCCCUGGAACUUCUUUUAAAAUGUAUUUUUAAAGGUUCUGGGUCUUUCUAGAUCAUACUUUACAAGUCACUCGUUGGGGCUGGAAUAGGACCAGGUGACUGGGGCAAGAGAUGGCUUCUGUCCUAGCACUUGCCCCAGGCUGAGGGAACACGGCCUCCCUGAUCAGCACUCGGAGGUUCUACAAGGUUGGGGGGGGUGGAAUUAUGGGUAAUUCAAGUUGCAUUGUUUGUUUUUUGUUGUUGGAACUGUAGUUUUUCAACUAUGAACCUACACCUGACAACCAGAAAAAUAAAACAGCCCUGAAGAGUAGUACUUCCUGCAGACAUGG
Molecule: long non-coding RNA, 1318 nt
Organism: Canis lupus familiaris (dog)
Lineage: Eukaryota; Metazoa; Chordata; Mammalia; Carnivora; Canidae
Exons: 3
Source: RefSeq, a predicted model, not a curated record